GAUGAAGAACGUAGCGAAAUGCGAUAAGUAAUGUGAAUUGCAGAAUUCAGUGAAUCAUCGAAUCUUUGAACGCACCUUGCGCCCUUUGGCCAUUCCGAAGGGCAUGCCUGUUUGAGUAUCAUGAACACCUCAACUCCUCAUGGUCUUCUAUGAUGAGCUUGGACUUUGGGGGCUUGCUGGCCCAUUUGGUCAGCUCCUCUCAAAUGAAUCAGCCUACCAGUGUUUGGUGGCACCACAGGUGUGAUAACAAUCUACGCUUGAGGUUUUCCACCAGGCAACCUUCAGUAAUUGGGGUUCACUGGGGCUCACAAAUGUCUUUCUUCAGUGAGGACAGCUCUUUGAAUGUUUGACCUCAAAUCAGGUAGGACUACCCGCUGAACUUAAGCAUAUCAAUAAGCGGAGGA
This 404-nucleotide unclassified non-coding RNA is filed under the name soil metagenome. RNAcentral describes it as "partial contains 5.8S ribosomal RNA, internal transcribed spacer 2, and large subunit ribosomal RNA". The stretch from base 1 to 121 matches the Rfam family "5.8S ribosomal RNA", at positions 35 to 154 of the family's 154-position model. The record is from RNAcentral.